AGCUCAGAAAUGUGGUGAUCUCUGCUGUAGCCAUUCAUGUUCUUCUUCUAAUUCAGCAGGUGUGUGCCUUUGCCACCAGCAGCAGUUCUUCUCCUUGGACUCCAUGUUCUGUUCACAUCCAACUGUUUGGGAUACAGCCAUCGCUACAUUCAUCUACCAGUCUUGGAAGGAUGUGUUGCUGCCCUGCUGAUAACCCACCAGAGGUGCCUUGAGGGCUGGGAUGUGCGUUGCUUUCUGCCCUGAAGCUGUAAGAAACAGCAGUUUGGUGAUUUCCUUGGCUCUGUGUUGCUUGCCAUUGGACCAGCUGGGGCUGGGUAAAAGAAACUGGCUGCACACCUUCCUGCUCCUGGUGGCUGGAACUGUUGAAAGUCAGCCCUGUGCCAUGGGUUGCCCCAGCUCUUCAGGUGAUAACCUUCUCCAGCAGCAGCUGUGCUCAGAAUUUAUUGGGCUGCAGCUGGGAAUCUUUCUCUUUGAUCUAUCUCUGCUAUUAAACAGCUUGUGAUAACACCGCCGAGCUCACAUCGAGGAAGGGAAGCCAAGCAACCUCAAUUGUGGAGCUGAGCAGCAGCGGGGAGCCCAUCUUAAAGAUGCAUCACCUCGACUGCUUCAAAAGUGAAGGAACUCCUUUUAUUGCAUUGAGCUGCUCUCCAGGAAUGAUUAAAGUCCUGUAAACGAGCACCUUCCUCAUCACAGAGCUGUCUGCUGACAGGGUGCCAAGUACAACAAGCCCAAUCCAAAGCAUCAUCCCCUCCGUGGGGCUAAUUGUUGUUGCCUUGUCUCUUGAACAAGAAGAGUGGUAAGGGAAAGCAGAACCUGGAGGCACAUACGCAUCCCUGUACAGAAAUAACCCCUGAAAUAGCACUGAAAAGCAAUUGAGGAGUUGGUGUAUGGGCUGCAGACAAAGAGCAGAGUAAAGGAGAUAACCGGCAGCGAGAUCUGGGAAAUAAUGCCCUAAAUUCCCUCUGAGCCCAUCCAUCACUGUGGCUUCGGUGAUCAUCUCAGCAACAAAUACCCUUAUCAUCCAAGUGGAAUUUGAUGUUAAUGACCUGUCUGUUAUUUCAGAGGGAGAUGGACUGGAACCGGUGGGUAAUUGGUAGGAAAAAUCACUGGGUACAGCAAAGAGCUGAUGCUACUGGAGUAGUUACAUCAUGAGAGAGGGAGAUUAGGGAGCUCUGCUUACUACAAGGGGCUUAUUCAUCCUGAAUAAAUGCGUUAGCUGCCCGGGGCUGUCCUCCUAUGCUCUUGUUCCUGUCUGGUGGUAUCUCCCCACCACAGCUUACCCUGCUUUUCCCAACAAACAGCAGAGAUUCAGCCUGGCAGAAGCUAAUAGAAUCAUAGAACACCCAGAGCUGGAAGGGACCCAUAAGUAUCAUCAAGUCCAACUCCUGCUGUUGAGAUGAUCACAGUAAGGAAUAACCUGCUCUCUCCAAGCUCACAAUGAUGUAUGUGUUUAUUUUGGAGUCCUCUCAGGAAAGACCAUAAUUACUCUAAUUUCUUAAUUACCGAAAUUAUUCAGAAUGACUUUACAAACACCUCUGCCCUGCAAUGUUUUGCACAAGCAGCCUCCCAGGUUGCAGCAGCGUUAGGAUUUGGGUCUGUUUCUCUGCUUGGAAGGAUUUGCUGUGUUCACUGCCAUUUCUCCUUGCCAUCACGUUAGUGGGGCAGCCUGCAGGUCUCAGCAAAAAUAGGAUAACUGGAGAGCAUCAGGGGAGAGCUAGAAGCAAGUCCAGAGGUAAAGCCUUGGCUCUGUUGCAAAGAAGAAUAGCUUUGCUGGGACUUGAUGCCUGUGCUUUUUCUCAACAGUUUCCUAUUCCCACCUUGCAUUUCCCAGCUAACGGGACCAGCACCAGCCAUGUUUCGGUGAGCACACACCUGCUUUAUAAAUUAGCUCCCAGGAGUAUUUGCAAAAACAAAGCUGAACUGCACAGGCCACGAGACUGGGUUUGCUGCAGAAAUACCAGCACGUAUUCAUAAUAAAGCAGCUGCAUGCUUUGCCCAGCUCUGUCUGUAACUUCCCGUCAUGUCCUGUACCUUUCUGGGAAGAAAGAAUGGGUGAUGGUGGUGGGAAAUUUGCUUCGUUGAGCCAAGAAGGAUUUUGCAAUCGCUCUUGAUGGAGCUGGAGCUGCUUUUAACCCUAUGUAUUCCAGAUAUCUCUGUACAACCUUAUUGAUUUUCCACUGUUGUAGGUAGCAAUGGAGAAGAAAGAAUGGGUGAGUAGGAUUUAACACUCAGCCUGAACUGUGCAUAAGGGUCAGCCCUAUGCCCUUUAUGCACAGUAGGCACCACUGCUGCCUGUCCCCAGCAUCACCUCAGGGUGGCACAAGUUGGGGACCAUGAGUGAUGAGGAGCUCUUGCGGUGCCCUUUCCAUUUCUUCCCUAUAGCUGUGUGAAGAGCUGCUGACUGCUCCACCAGGAACCAAGGCAAUAAUCCCAGCUUGUCACUUUCCAUCAGCGGAAUGAAUCAAACACUGUGGUUGUGGCCCUGUUCCUAUGUGCUCUGUGUGUUCUUCCUCUUGACUCACCAGUGGGGAGGCGAUGUCAUGGGGAAGCUGUUCUGGAAAUGCUUUAAUUGAUUUAAUUCAUAGCUGCAUUGGAGCAAUAAGGUGUUCCCUCCUUAUGCCCAAGAAUGGCAGAAUGUCCUCCAGCUGCCCCCAGAGAUGCUGCUGGCAAUCCAUGCCAAGCCUGAGAAUGAAAGCUUUGGCAACAUCCUGGACCAAGCUCUGCUAUCUUUCCUAUUGAAACGCAUGUGGAUUACUGCAGACAAAUUGGAGAUGAACACGCAUCUAGAGCCCAACGUAUCCGUAAGAUAAAUCACCACAUAACUGCAAGACAAUAUUUCUGCAAAAAAAGGUUUUCUUAUCAUGAUUUUUUCCCCUCUGUCUUGGACUCAUCGCUACCAGACCAGGAACCUUUGAACAGAUUUGUUUGAAGCCUUGGCAUAGGCUCACAGUGGCUGAGAAUCUUCUUCCUAUUCCUAAGAAAAACAGAUUCUGGCUGGAGGGGAAGAAGAGCUUCAGCAUUAGAGAUGACCUAAACAGCACAUGUUGCAAAUGAGAUGGGAAGUGGAGAACUGCUUGAAACAUCUCUGACCCUUUCAGCAGAACUGUUUUCCCUUUGCCUUCUUAAAGCUGAGCUGCAGAUGUUGUAAGGAUGAACCCAGUGGCCUGCUGCUGUUUCUUUUUGCAUGUUCACAAGGCAGCUUCUCUAAUAAGUUUGAACUCUGUUGAUCUUGCAUUGAACAGCUUCACAUCAGGCUGCAUGGUAGCUGGCUCACGCUGCCCUGACCUUGCUGUACUUACUUCCCAUGCUGGAAAUGAGGUGGUGUGGAAUGGUUUCUUUGGGUUUUGCAGUAGAAAUAGGUUGCUGGGCUCUUGAAGACAUCCCCAGGACUGCUAUAGUCCAGAACAGCCCUGGGAAAGAUGCUCUGCUUCAAGCUGGGGUUGUACUGGUGUGAGCUGGUGAUUUCAUGUCUUCCUCUGGUUGGGUAUUUCAACCAAUGGCACAAAUAAUGGAAGACCUCCCAGAAUAAUGCCAUCGUAAGGGCUGACCACCUAAGAGGAACUGCACGUCAGGAAAUACAUUGGCCAUAUGAGUUUGUGAGUUGUUUCAAUUGUGAAUAGUGUAUUAAUCAAGACUUGGCUAAUGGGUGCACUGGGACAUGCACAUAGAUGUACUGUUGAGCCCUUCUCUUUACCUUUCAACCUCUGAAGUCAUCCAAGCUGCUAACACUCUGAGGAGGAUGACUCAGCAAAAAUAAUAGUUUUAGCAAGAAGCAGAAAAAUGAGAUUUGCAUAUGUUUUUGUUUUUUUUUUUUUUUUUCUGGGAAAAAUAUCAAGUUUUCCUGCUUAGAAAAUGAAUGGGUUGGAAACCAGCUUGUAAAACUUGAAGCCUGACUCAGGCACUGAUCUGUCGCCGGGCUGUCACUUGCAGUCAUUGUUAGUGAGAAGUCCUCAAUGUUCUGUCCAUAAAGGAAAGAUUGCUGUCUGUGUUACUGAUGGAUUCUUAUGUGGGGAGGAGCAAAUUUGAGCUGGAGGACUUCAAUACAUGUUCAGCAGCAGGUGAGCAAAGUUAGGGAAUACAGAACCAUCCCUGCUCACUGCAGAGCAGCUCCCAAGGAGCACAGUGAUAAAUGAAUUGCAGAAAGCUUGUGGGGUUCAGCUUGGCCAGGGGAAAUAAUGCUGGUGUCUAUCUGAUCUCUGCAAACCUGAUUUUCCACUUACAUGCCUGAUGAUAAAUCAGUGGUAAAUGCGCUUAUGUUGGCACGCCAAGUUUUCCCCUGGAUGCUGCCUUAUAUGCACGCGCUUUCUUGACCGCAGGCAUUCAGAUCUGGUGCAGAAACCUUGAGCUGGUAGGUGGCAUCCUAUCCCAACAACACCACAUUGCCCUUGGCCUGCACAAUGCAGCACAGCUAUGGGAGAAGGACAGCAAACGCACCAGGAGAACCUCUUCAAACUGCAUAGAAGGCCUGAUUUUGAAACUAGGGCAAAAGUUGAAAUAGGAUUUAAUUUUAUCUCAGUUGAUUCAUCUGUCCCUAAUUAGUAAUAACUUCCUAAUGUAUGACACAAGGAUAUGCGGAGGUUUGGUUUUUUUUAAUGAAUGACUCUUGGCUAAGAUAAAAUAUUGCUGUUCUCAGAUUGCCUCAGAUAGUUCUUUUUAUAAGCCAAUAGAGAUUUGUGUAGUCUUAGAUGAAAAAUACAUGAGAUCCUGCAGUCACACAUGCUGAAGACUGAACUCUUAUAGAUUAUAGAUCCUAUCUUGUUCCCAAUUUAUUCUGUACAUCCCGUUUUAGUGUCUCUAUUUGCUUUUACUGAUUGAGGAGCCUCAGUCUCCCAGUAUUGCAGUGUGUGAUGCUGUGCAGGGAUGGAGCAAAAGCUGAUCCUUACACCCAGAGCAGUUUCUCAUGGGAAAUCGCCAGUUUUUCCUCUUUUUAGGAUGGAAGUUAUGUCUGCUUUGUCUUACUUUCUCUUUCUGUCCUCUUCCCCAUUUUCUCUCUACUUCCCAGGGCUGGAAGUAAAGCUGAUGCUGCUUGGUGGGGAUGCAGGAGGCGGAGCAGUGUCUGUGGGCAGUGUUUGGAUUGAACUGCAUGAUCCCAGGCAUCAGGAGGUGCAGGCUGCCCACAGCCUGUUCCUGGACAGUAUGGCCAGGAGAUAAUCCCUCUCACCUUGUAAUGCAUUGCACUUCCACAUCAUUCCUCUGCUCCGACUCAUGCUUUAUUAUACCAUCCAACAUAUUCCAUCCCAAUCCUUUUUCUUCACACCCUCUGAAACCCUUCCAGGCUUCCUGCUAUCGUGUCCCUUUCUCCAGCUCACCUCUCCAAGCCAAGCCAUACACCCAGGCUCCAAUCCCAUCCCAUAAAUCAGUCUCUCCAAGGCCCUGACAGUAUUCUGAGAUUUCCAGGGGCUGUGCAGCCCCUCCUGGGCUCACA
Molecule: non-coding RNA, 5425 nt
Organism: Coturnix japonica (Japanese quail)
Lineage: Eukaryota; Metazoa; Chordata; Aves; Galliformes; Phasianidae
Source: RefSeq, a predicted model, not a curated record